CCGGGGGGGGGUGCUAUACAUGCAAGUCGAGCGAACAGAUAAGGAGCUUGCUCCUUUGACGUUAGCGGCGGACGGGUGAGUAACACGUGGAUAACCUACCUAUAAGACUGGGAUAACUUCGGGAAACCGGAGCUAAUACCGGAUAACAUAUUGAACCGCAUGGUUCAAUAGUGAAAGGCGGCUUUGCUGUCACUUAUAGAUGGAUCCGCGCCGUAUUAGCUAGUUGGUAAGGUAACGGCUUACCAAGGCAACGAUACGUAGCCGACCUGAGAGGGUGAUCGGCCACACUGGAACUGAGACACGGUCCAGACUCCUACGGGAGGCAGCAGUAGGGAAUCUUCCGCAAUGGGCGAAAGCCUGACGGAGCAACGCCGCGUGAGUGAUGAAGGUCUUCGGAUCGUAAAACUCUGUUAUCAGGGAAGAACAAAUGUGUAAGUAACUGUGCACAUCUUGACGGUACCUGAUCAGAAAGCCACGGCUAACUACGUGCCAGCAGCCGCGGUAAUACGUAGGUGGCAAGCGUUAUCCGGAAUUAUUGGGCGUAAAGCGCGCGUAGGCGGUUUUUUAAGUCUGAUGUGAAAGCCCACGGCUCAACCGUGGAGGGUCAUUGGAAACUGGAAAACUUGAGUGCAGAAGAGGAAAGUGGAAUUCCAUGUGUAGCGGUGAAAUGCGCAGAGAUAUGGAGGAACACCAGUGGCGAAGGCGACUUUCUGGUCUGUAACUGACGCUGAUGUGCGAAAGCGUGGGGAUCAAACAGGAUUAGAUACCCUGGUAGUCCACGCCGUAAACGAUGAGUGCUAAGUGUUAGGGGGUUUCCGCCCCUUAGUGCUGCAGCUAACGCAUUAAGCACUCCGCCUGGGGAGUACGACCGCAAGGUUGAAACUCAAAGGAAUUGACGGGGACCCGCACAAGCGGUGGAGCAUGUGGUUUAAUUCGAAGCAACGCGAAGAACCUUACCAAAUCUUGACAUCCUUUGACCGCUCUAGAGAUAGAGUCUUCCCCUUCGGGGACAAAGUGACAGUGCUGCAUGGUGUCGUCAGCUCGUGUCGUGAGAUGUUGGGUUAAGUCCCGCAACGAGCGCAACCCUUAAGCUUAGUUG
Molecule: ribosomal RNA, 1099 nt
Filed under: Staphylococcus pasteuri
Lineage: Bacteria; Bacillati; Bacillota; Bacilli; Caryophanales; Staphylococcaceae
Description: bacterial SSU rRNA
Rfam family: Bacterial small subunit ribosomal RNA
Source: RNAcentral